This 498-nucleotide long non-coding RNA is filed under the name Homo sapiens (human). RNAcentral describes it as "HSALNT0131926". The record is from RNAcentral. Lineage: Eukaryota; Metazoa; Chordata; Mammalia; Primates; Hominidae.
UGUGCCGCGGCCGUUCGUUACGUAGGAGCGCGGGUGCUGUGGUGGUUUGCUGCACCUAUUAACCCAUCCUGUUUUGCCUGGCAUUCUGCAGAAGCAUUGCUGUAUCUUACCAGACAGGAAUACAGGUCUGCUGUGUGCCAAAAUAUUUUACCAUGCCCUAAAAGUGAGAUGUUGGAAGUGGACAAGGAGGAAAUAUUUAUGAAUAUUUGAGUCUGUUAUUCUUUAUGUUAAGCAUUUUGGCUUCUGUUGUACUCCUAAAUCACUACUGAGAGCAGAGAAAGAGCUCUUUGUAGAAAUGAGAUGUGUUCCUGUGUGCUGCCUGUGACGCAUCCCGUUGUCACCGGAGUGCCGUGGCCCUAAGGAAUGACAGCAUUAAGGCAUGGACGUUAAAGAUGGACAAAAGAAUUGUUCACGGUGUUGUAUUUUAAAAUGACUAUGUGUAUGACAAUUAAACUAUUGUGUCUUCGUUUACUCCAUGUGUUCUGCCUGACAGCUGGG